Molecule: ribosomal RNA, 464 nt
Filed under: uncultured bacterium
Lineage: Bacteria
Description: bacterial SSU rRNA
Rfam family: Bacterial small subunit ribosomal RNA
Source: RNAcentral
GAUGAACGCUGGCGGCGUGCUUAAUACAUGCAAGUCGAACGAAGGUUGUAGCAAUACAUCCUUAGUGGCGAACGGGUGAGUAACGCGUUGGUGACCUGCCCCGAAGUGCGGGAUAACAGUCCGAAAGGAUUGCUAAUACCGCAUGGUUUCAUUUGGAUUAGAUGCCAGAUGAGCAAAGGCGAAAGUCGCUUCGGGGGGGCUUGCGUCCCAUCAGCUAGUUGGUAGGGUAAUGGCCUACCAAGGCAAUGACGGGUAGGGGACCUGAGAGGGUGGCCCCCCCACAAUGGAACUGAAACACGGUCCAUACACCUACGGGUGGCAGCAGUAGGGAAUAUUGGUUAAUGUGCGAAAGCGCGAACCAGCAACGCCGCGUGCACGAUGAAGGCCUUCGGGUUGUAAAGUAGCUUUUGUAGGGGAGUGAGGAAGGGACAGUACCCUCAGAAUAAGUCUCGGCCAACUACGUG